This 423-nucleotide ribosomal RNA is filed under the name uncultured Limnohabitans sp. RNAcentral describes it as "bacterial SSU rRNA". It matches the Rfam family "Bacterial small subunit ribosomal RNA", at positions 1 to 433 of the family's 1533-position model. The record is from RNAcentral. Lineage: Bacteria; Pseudomonadati; Pseudomonadota; Betaproteobacteria; Burkholderiales; Comamonadaceae.
CUCGGAGUUUGAUCCUGGCUCAGUUUGAACGCUGGCGGAAUGCUUUACACAUGCAAGUCGAACGGUAGAGGGGGCAACCCCUUGAGAGUGGCGAACGGGUGAGUAAUAUAUCGGAACGUGCCUAGUCGUGGGGGAUAACGUAGUGAAAAUUACGCUAAUACCGCAUACGAUCUAAGGAUGAAAGCGGGGAUCGCAAGACCUCGCGCGAUUGGAGCGGCCGAUAUCAGAUUAGGUAGUUGGUGAGGUAAAGGCUCACCAAGCCAACGAUCUGUAGCUGGUCUGAGAGGACGACCAGCCACACUGGAACUGAGACACGGUCCAGACUCCUACGGGAGCAGCAGUGGGGAAUUUUGGACAAUGGGCGCAAGCCUGAUCCAGCCCAUGCCCGCGUGCAGGAUGACGGUCCUAUGGAUUGUAAACUGC